UACGGAGGAUGCGAGCGUUAUCCGGAUUUAUUGGGUUUAAAGGGUGCGCAGGCGGAUUUUUAAGUCAGCGGUCAAAUCGUGGGGCUCAACCCUGUCGAGCCGUCGGAACUGGCAGUCUUGAGUGGGCGAGAAGUAUGCGGAAUGCGUGGUGUAGCGGUGAAAUGCAUAGAUAUCACGCAGAACGCCGAUUGCGAAGGCAGCAUACCGGCGCCCAACUGACGCUGAGGCACGAAAGCGUGGGGAUCGAACAGG
RNAcentral lists this ribosomal RNA (252 nucleotides) under uncultured Bacteroidales bacterium. RNAcentral describes it as "partial 16S ribosomal RNA". It matches the Rfam family "Bacterial small subunit ribosomal RNA", at positions 524 to 776 of the family's 1533-position model. The record is from RNAcentral. Lineage: Bacteria; Pseudomonadati; Bacteroidota; Bacteroidia; Bacteroidales.